Molecule: transfer RNA, 58 nt
Filed under: Monodelphis domestica (gray short-tailed opossum)
Lineage: Eukaryota; Metazoa; Chordata; Mammalia; Didelphimorphia; Didelphidae
Rfam family: tRNA
About the family: Transfer RNA (tRNA) molecules are approximately 80 nucleotides in length. Their secondary structure includes four short double-helical elements and three loops (D, anti-codon, and T loops).
Source: Rfam by way of RNAcentral
UGGCACAGUAGGUAGCGCGUCAGUCUCUCAAGCUGAAGGUCCUGAGUUCUAUCCUCAG